Non-coding RNA from Merluccius polli (Benguela hake), 74 nucleotides. The record is from the annotation of a GenBank genome assembly. Lineage: Eukaryota; Metazoa; Chordata; Actinopteri; Gadiformes; Merlucciidae.
GUCUAGCUCCACGGAUAGAGCAUGGCAUUAACACUGCCAGGGCUGGGGGGUUCGAUUCCCAUUGGCGUCACCCA